RNAcentral lists this ribosomal RNA (677 nucleotides) under uncultured Bacteroidota bacterium. RNAcentral describes it as "bacterial SSU rRNA". It matches the Rfam family "Bacterial small subunit ribosomal RNA", at positions 8 to 681 of the family's 1533-position model. Lineage: Bacteria; Pseudomonadati; Bacteroidota. The record is from RNAcentral.
AGAGUUGUAUCCUGGCUCAGGAUGAACGCUAGCGGCAGGCCUAACACAUGCAAGUCGAGGGGUAACAGGAAAGCUUGCUUUCGCUGACGACCGGCGCACGGGUGCGUAACGCGUAUGCAACCUACCUCAUACUGGAGCAUAGCCCUUGGAAACGGGGAUUAAUACUCCAUGGUAUCAUGAAUUCGCAUGUUUUCAUGAUUAAAGAAUUUCGGUAUGAGAUGGGCAUGCGUCCCAUUAGCUAGUUGGUGAGGUAACGGCUCACCAAGGCGACGAUGGGUAGGGGGCCUGAGAGGGUGGUCCCCCACACUGGUACUGAGACACGGACCAGACUCCUACGGGAGGCAGCAGUGAGGAAUAUUGGUCAAUGGAGGCAACUCUGAACCAGCCAUGCCGCGUGAAGGAUGACGGCCCUAUGGGUUGUAAACUUCUUUUAUAUGGGAAGAAACUUAUCUACGUGUAGAUAACUGACGGUACCAUACGAAUAAGGAUCGGCUAACUCCGUGCCAGCAGCCGCGGUAAUACGGAGGAUCCAAGCGUUAUCCGGAUUCAUUGGGUUUAAAGGGUCCGUAGGCGGAUUUUUAAGUCAGUGGUGAAAGCCGACAGCUCAACUGUCGAACUGCCAUUGAUACUGGAGAUCUUGAGUACAAAUGAAGUAGGCGGAAUGAGUCAUGUAGCGG